RNAcentral lists this small RNA (949 nucleotides) under Pan troglodytes (chimpanzee). Its description in RNAcentral is "retained intron". Lineage: Eukaryota; Metazoa; Chordata; Mammalia; Primates; Hominidae. The record is from RNAcentral.
AAACUUCAGCGUCACAGCUGAAGACUGGCUUCGUGGUCCCUGAUGGGAGAGCAUGAACAGGUGGUAUGUGAAGCCCUUGGAGACCAGCUCUUCCAAAGUCAAAGCCAAGACCAUUGUGAUGAUUCCCGACUCCCAGAAGCUCCUGCGAUGUGAACUUGAGUCGCUCAAGAGCCAGUUACAGGCCCAGACCAAGGCUUUCGAGUUCCUGAACCACUCAGUGACCAUGUUGGAGAAGGAGAGCUGCUUGCAGCAAAUCAAGAUUCAGCAGCUUGAAGAGGUGCUGAGCCCCACAGGCCGCCAGGGAGAGAAGGAGGAGCACAGGUGGGGCAUGGAGCAGGGUCGGCAGGAGCUGUAUGGGGCCCUGACCCAAGGCCUUCAGGGGCUGGAGAAGACCCUGCGUGACAGUGAGGAGAUGCAGCGGGCCCGCACCACUCGCUGCCUGCAGCUGCUGGCCCAGGAGAUCCGGGACAGGUCGGGGAUGGCGGGAGGGCAGCUUGGAGUCCACAGGAGGGAAGGGAGACCCAGAACUGGGGAAUGGAGGCAGGAUGGGGGAAAUGGCAGAUGCCUGGGGGAGGGGGGACUGAGGGAUGGUGGAAAGCCUGAGGGACAAGAAGAGGGAAUGAGGCCGGGUGUGGUGGCUCAUUCCUGUAAUCCCAGCACUUUGGGAAGCCGAGAUGGGCGGAUCACCUGAGGUCAGGAGUUCGAGACCAGCCUGGCCAACAUGGUGAAACCCCAUCUCUACUAAAAAUACAAGAAUUAGUCAGGCAUGGCGGCGGGUGCCUGUAAUCCCAGCUACUAGGGAAGCUGAAGCAGGAGAAUCACUGGAACCCAGGAGGCAGAGGUUGCAGUGAGCUGAGAUCGCGCCACUGCACUCCAGCCUGGGCGCCUGGGCGGCAGAGCGAGACUCUGUCUAAAAAAAAAAAAAAAUGAGGAGGGGAUGAGAGGCUCA